RNAcentral lists this ribosomal RNA (457 nucleotides) under uncultured Veillonellaceae bacterium. RNAcentral's name for it is "bacterial SSU rRNA". It matches the Rfam family "Bacterial small subunit ribosomal RNA", at positions 17 to 465 of the family's 1533-position model. The record is from RNAcentral. Lineage: Bacteria; Bacillati; Bacillota; Negativicutes; Veillonellales; Veillonellaceae.
UCCUGGCUCAGGACGAACGCUGGCGGCGUGCUUAACACAUGCAAGUCGAACGGAGAUUCAGCAAUGGAUCUUAGUGGCGAACGGGUGAGUAACGCGUAGGCAAUCUGCCUUCUAGAUGGGGACAACAUCCCGAAAGGGGUGCUAAUACCGAAUGUUGUACCGUUUCCGCAUGGAGAUGAUACUAAAGGUGGCCUCUGAAUAUGCUACCGCUAGAAGAUGAGCCUGCGUCUGAUUAGCUAGUUGGAGGGGUAACGGCCCACCAAGGCUUCGAUCAGUAGCCGGUCUGAGAGGAUGAACGGCCACACUGGGACUGAGACACGGCCCAGACUCCUACGGGAGGCAGCAGUGGGGAAUCUUCCGCAAUGGACGAAAGUCUGACGGAGCAACGCCGCGUGAGUGAAGAAGGUUUUCGGAUCGUAAAGCUCUUUCGUUAGGGACGAACGUGCUCUUUGUGAAU